RNAcentral lists this ribosomal RNA (305 nucleotides) under uncultured bacterium. RNAcentral describes it as "partial 16S ribosomal RNA". It matches the Rfam family "Bacterial small subunit ribosomal RNA", at positions 508 to 808 of the family's 1533-position model. The record is from RNAcentral.
ACAGCAGCCGCCGCGGGAAAACGUAGGCCCCGAGCGUUGUCCGGAUUUAUUGGGCGUAAAGCGAGCGCAGGCGGUUAGAUAAGUCUGAAGUUAAAGGCUGUGGCUUAACCAUAGUACGCUUUGGAAACUGUUUAACUUGAGUGCAAGAGGGGAGAGUGGAAUUCCAUGUGUAGCGGUGAAAUGCGUAGAUAUAUGGAGGAACACCGGUGGCGAAAGCGGCUCUCUGGCUUGUAACUGACGCUGAGGCUCGAAAGCGUGGGGAGCAAACAGGAUUAGAUACCCGCGUAGUCCCUGUCUCUUAUACA